CAGUCGCCACGGUAAUACGAAGGGGGCUAGCGUUGCUCGGAAUUACUGGGCGUAAAGGGAGCGUAGGCGGAUCGUUUAGUCAGGGGUGAAAUCCCGGGGCUCAACCUCGGAACUGCCUUUGAUACUGGCGAUCUUGAGUAUGGGAGAGGUGUGUGGAACUCCGAGUGUAGAGGUGAAAUUCGUAGAUAUUCGGAAGAACACCAGUGGCGAAGGCGACACACUGGCCCAUUACUGACGCUGAGGCUCGAAAGCGUGGGGAGCAAACAGGAUUAGAUACCCCCGUAGUCCCUGUCUCUUAUAC
This 301-nucleotide ribosomal RNA is filed under the name uncultured bacterium. RNAcentral describes it as "partial 16S ribosomal RNA". It matches the Rfam family "Bacterial small subunit ribosomal RNA", at positions 509 to 807 of the family's 1533-position model. The record is from RNAcentral.